Trematomus bernacchii (emerald rockcod) is the source of this 903-nucleotide long non-coding RNA. RefSeq lists it as uncharacterized. The record is from RefSeq and is a predicted model, not a curated record. The transcript is spliced from 3 exons. Lineage: Eukaryota; Metazoa; Chordata; Actinopteri; Perciformes; Nototheniidae.
CUGUUGAAGAGAGGAAGAAAAUGGAACAAUGUAUUUUAUUAUAUAAAGCUUAAAUAUGCUAAAAACUGUGUUAAAACUCUGAAUGCCAUAGACAUGUAUCGUAUAGUUUAAUGCUUUAGCAAUAUAAACAGGAUGUAUAACAUAAAUCCUUACAUGGGUGCUCAUAAAGACCCGUGAUGCAAAGUACGCACUUCCUCUUUCGAGGACUUGAACUCUCUAUGCACUUCCCUUUUCGAGGAGAACAUCUGUUAUGUAUUUCCUCGCUGGAAGUGAACAGUUAAACACAACAACGAAGAAGGACACCUCUAAACGCGCCAGCUUGCACAACAAGCAUGUGACAAACCACGUGUCAGACCAUGUGACAAACCGCGGGAAAAAAGAGGAUAAAAGAAGACUGAAAAACACUGGAGGGCAGUUCCUCUUCGAACCCAGUUUGAACUUGAACUCUCCAGCUUGUUUAGCAAGCAACGGAAGACGAUCGUAUUACUUACUCGUAUUGAGGCAAAGAUCUCGGAUAUAAUAUGUAUCUGGGCAAAACGCAUUUCAUUUUUUAUUGAUGUGUGGUGUUGUAACUUGUGAAACUUUAAUAAAACUACCUGUUCACAUUUGUGAUAGGAAACUAAAGUCCAUGUAGCCCUUCUGAUUAUUGUUGAAUAGGUGACAAUUCAGACGGCACUGUAAACCUGUUCCCACAUAGCUUGAGUCCUGAGUCCAGUCUGAUUCCAGUGUCCUGUUCCUUGGCUGAGGAUCAAUCCCUGACGGAGUCUUGCAGAGACACGAGAGAGAACAACAGGUGCCUAUUCAAGAUCAAUCCGGACUAGAGUGGAGAGGAAGGAAUACAAACACAAACAGCACUCGAUAAAGAUUUCAUGAAGUUUGCUGACGACACGACCGUCAUCGGCC